UACGUAGGGACCAAGCGUUGUUCGGAUUUACUGGGCGUAAAGGGCGCGUAGGCGGCGCGGUAAGUCACUUGUGAAAUCUCUGAGCUUAACUCAGAACGGCCAAGUGAUACUGCAGUGCUAGAGUGUGGAAGGGGCAAUCGGAAUUCUUGGUGUAGCGGUGAAAUGCGUAGAUAUCAAGAGGAACACCUGAGGUGAAGACGGGUUGCUGGGCCAACACUGACGCUGAGGCGCGAAAGCCAGGGGAGCAAACGG
RNAcentral lists this ribosomal RNA (252 nucleotides) under uncultured prokaryote. RNAcentral's name for it is "partial 16S ribosomal RNA". It matches the Rfam family "Bacterial small subunit ribosomal RNA", at positions 524 to 775 of the family's 1533-position model. The record is from RNAcentral.